Molecule: transfer RNA, 89 nt
Organism: Beauveria bassiana ARSEF 2860
Lineage: Eukaryota; Fungi; Ascomycota; Sordariomycetes; Hypocreales; Cordycipitaceae
Rfam family: tRNA
About the family: Transfer RNA (tRNA) molecules are approximately 80 nucleotides in length. Their secondary structure includes four short double-helical elements and three loops (D, anti-codon, and T loops).
Source: Rfam
GGCCGCGUGGCCUAAUGGUUAAGGCGCUAGAUUUCGGCCCACCGUAUCGUAACCUCUAGAGAUUCCAGGUUCGACUCCUGGCGUGGUCG